This 253-nucleotide unclassified non-coding RNA is filed under the name Patescibacteria group bacterium. RNAcentral's name for it is "contains 16S-23S intergenic spacer region". It matches the Rfam family "Bacterial small subunit ribosomal RNA", at positions 524 to 776 of the family's 1533-position model. The record is from RNAcentral.
UACAGAGACCUCAAGCGUUAUCCGGAUUUAUUGGGCGUAAAGGGUCCGCAGGCGGCUCGGUAAGUCAUUCGUCAAAUCUUCAGGCUCAACCUGAAGACUGCGGGUGAUACUGCCAGGCUAGAGGCUGGGAGAGGCACACGGAAUUGCCGGUGUAGCGGUAAAAUGCGUUAAUAUCGGCAAGAACACCAAAUGCGAAGGCAGUGUGCUGGAACAGUUCUGACGCUCAGGGACGAAAGCGUGGGUAGCGAAAGGG